This 253-nucleotide ribosomal RNA is filed under the name uncultured bacterium. Its description in RNAcentral is "partial 16S ribosomal RNA". It matches the Rfam family "Bacterial small subunit ribosomal RNA", at positions 524 to 776 of the family's 1533-position model. The record is from RNAcentral.
UACGUAGGGUGCAAGCGUUGUCCGGAAUUAUUGGGCGUAAAGAGCUCGUAGGCGGUCUGUCGCGUCGGCUGUGGAAACCCGGAGCUCAACUCCGGGCCUGCAGUCGAUACGGGCAGACUGGAGUUCGGCAGGGGAGACUGGAAUUCCUGGUGUAGCGGUGAAAUGCGCAGAUAUCAGGAGGAACACCGGUGGCGAAGGCGGGUCUCUGGGCCGAUACUGACGCUGAGGAGCGAAAGCGUGGGGAGCGAACAGG